Molecule: small RNA, 803 nt
Filed under: Pan troglodytes (chimpanzee)
Lineage: Eukaryota; Metazoa; Chordata; Mammalia; Primates; Hominidae
Description: retained intron
Source: RNAcentral
AUAAAUCUAAUUUUUCAGUAUAAGUAUGUUCCAAAAAUUGCAUGGGAUAUGCUUAUACUAAAAAAAAAAAAAAAAAAAAAUGUUGCUAGGCUGGACACGGUGGCUCAUACCUGUAAUCCCAGCACUUUGGGAGGCCGAGGCGGGCAGAUCACCUGAGGUCAGGAGUUCGAGACCAACCUGGGCAACAUGGUGAAACCAUCUCUACUAAAAAUACAAAAAUUAGCCGGGUGUGGUGGUGCACACUUCUAAUCCCAGCUACUCAGGAGGCUGAGACAGGAGAAUUGCUUGAACCUGGGAGGCAGAGGUCACAGUGAGCCAAGAUCACGCCACUAUACUCCAGCCUGGGUGACAGAGUGAGACUCCGUUUAAAAAAAAAAAAGUUGCUAAAUCUGACCGUCCUAAACUAGAUGGCAGACUGAGAAAUGUGACUCCCCUCCCCAGUACCUUGUUUUCUGUGUCCUUGUAGCCGUGGUCCUUCAGCAUAUCUCUGUGCUGCAGACAACACACCUUCCUGAUGGAGGUGCCCGGCUGUUGGAGAAGUCUGGGGGCUUGGAAAUCAUCUUUGAUGUUUACCAGGCCGACGCUGUGGCCACAUUCCGAAAGAAUAACCCUGGCAAACCCUAUGCCCGGAUGUGCAUUAGUGGAUUUGAUGAGCCUGUCCCAGACCUCUGCAGCCUCAAGCGGUUAUCUUACCAGAGUGGGGAUGUCCCUCUGAUCUUUGCCCUGGUGGAUCAUGGUGACAUCUCCUUCUACAGCUUCAGGGACUUCACGUUGCCCCAGGAUGUGGGGCACUGACGUCACAG